GGAGAUGAGAGCUGCUUCCUUCGAUGAAGAGCGUGAGAGAUGAGGUCCAACGGCUAAGAUAAAUACCGGACGUUUGCACCAGAUGAUAGGAACCGGACGACCCCCGGAUCCUUUGGAAAUACGUCUUUUUUUCUUCUGGAUCUCUGCGUUGAGGACCACCGCAUCCUAGCCACCGUCAUCCACCCCGAACAUGCCGCAACGUCAGGCUCCGAAGCUCCAGAACACCAGGCUCCGUGACACUGUUGUCGUUGGCGUCAACGUCAGCCAUGACCUACCCUUUGGAUUCAACUAUGCACCGGCUCUCACUACCUCCUCUACUUCGUCCCCUCGGAAUUCGAGCCCAAGAAGAUAGUUGCUAAGAACCCGGUGGAUCUGAACGAACUGGCUGUGAGAGGGAUAAACCGUAGAUCUCUGGAGGUCCGAUCUAGACCGAUCUUCCUAGGCGGUGAUGGGGAAAGGAUUUGAUAUUGAGAGGCCUACCUACUAGGUGGAGUGGCACCACCGUAGGUGGUAGUUCGUAUGUUUCUUAUGUUGUUUACUCAUGGUGAACAAUUCUUUGCUUUUAGGUUCACAAAGAUCAACAACAUUGAAGUAUGCAAUCCAGCAGUAUAGACCGGUUCAGAAUCAACUUGGAGAGAAUCACAGGAAGGGUACAAACAAUUAGACGCCACAAGCCAUUGUAUUUGUUAUGCUAUUUUGGUGAAGAAAAACAGAGUAUGGAAUCUGACAUACACUGAAGUCACAUUUGCCAUCAAACUUGUUGAACUUGGUAUGCAUAUUGAGCUCACUCAUCUUGUUUGCGAAACCUUAGCCGCCUAAGAAACAAAAUCUCAAGCUCUGAUACCAAAUGUUGAAAUAGAACCCUCGCAGACUAUACAGAUAUGGAAGAUUAGGUAACAUUGCAUAGUGGAGAGCUUAUGUCAAGGUAUCAACCAGCAUCCAACGCCAGUCAUAAUCAACGAGCGAUUCCCACUGAAUUACUGUGCAUGUAAUUUCUCUCUUAGAUAAUAAAUAGUUGGAAAUUUGGCAAUAGUUGAAAGACCAACGGAUUGACCAUCAAUUUCUUGGAAAAAGUUUUUUUUCUAUACAAA
Molecule: long non-coding RNA, 1091 nt
Organism: Tripterygium wilfordii
Lineage: Eukaryota; Viridiplantae; Streptophyta; Magnoliopsida; Celastrales; Celastraceae
Exons: 3
Source: RefSeq, a predicted model, not a curated record